Long non-coding RNA from Lemur catta (Ring-tailed lemur), 280 nucleotides. RefSeq lists it as uncharacterized. Lineage: Eukaryota; Metazoa; Chordata; Mammalia; Primates; Lemuridae. The record is from RefSeq and is a predicted model, not a curated record. The transcript has 3 exons.
GUUCAGCCUCACCUUCUGUGGAUCCCAGCGGCGGCCGAGAACGAAGAGGAGCAGGGUUUGGCUGCAGAAGAGGCUGUGCUGGACACAGUGGCUUCAGAAGCCUUUUGGUGACUUUCCAGCUGCAGGAACAGGACCUGUGCCAUCAGCCUGUGCCAUCCUGGAAUUCCAAGGUGCAAACAGAGCGGCAAAAAUAGAGGUCUGAGCUUCACCUCCUAUGCUCAUCUACUAACAGGACUGGAAAGAACACGUGACCAAGCAACCCUCCAAACAUGGAGAGCAG